Molecule: ribosomal RNA, 1369 nt
Filed under: uncultured bacterium
Lineage: Bacteria
Description: bacterial SSU rRNA
Rfam family: Bacterial small subunit ribosomal RNA
Source: RNAcentral
GACGAACGCUGGCGGCGUGCCUAAUACAUGCAAGUAGAACGCUGAAGAGAGGAGCUUGCUCUUCUUGGAUGAGUUGCGAACGGGUGAGUAACGCGUAGGUAACCUGCCUUGUAGCGGGGGAUAACUAUUGGAAACGAUAGCUAAUACCGCAUAACAAUGGAUGACACAUGUCAUUUAUUUGAAAGGGGCAAUUGCUCCACUACAAGAUGGACCUGCGUUGUAUUAGCUAGUAGGUGAGGUAACGGCUCACCUAGGCGACGAUACAUAGCCGACCUGAGAGGGUGAUCGGCCACACUGGGACUGAGACACGGCCCAGACUCCUACGGGAGGCAGCAGUAGGGAAUCUUCGGCAAUGGGGGCAACCCUGACCGAGCAACGCCGCGUGAGUGAAGAAGGUUUUCGGAUCGUAAAGCUCUGUUGUAAGUCAAGAACGAGUGUGAGAGUGGAGAGUUCACACUGUGACGGUAGCUUACCAGAAAGGGACGGCUAACUACGUGCCAGCAGCCGCGGUAAUACGUAGGUCCCGAGCGUUGUCCGGAUUUAUUGGGCGUAAAGCGAGCGCAGGCGGUUUGAUAAGUCUGAAGUUAAAGGCUGUGGCUCAACCAUAGUUCGCUUUGGAAACUGUCAAACUUGAGUGCAGAAGGGGAGAGUGGAAUCCCAUGUGUAGCGGUGAAAUGCGUAGAUAUAUGGAGGAACACCGGUGGCGAAAGCGGCUCUCUGGUCUGUAACUGACGCUGAGGCUCGAAAGCGUGGGGAGCGAACAGGAUUAGAUACCCUGGUAGUCCACGCCGUAAACGAUGAGUGCUAGGUGUUGGAUCCUUUCCGGGAUUCAGUGCCGCAGCUAACGCAUUAAGCACUCCGCCUGGGGAGUACGACCGCAAGGUUGAAACUCAAAGGAAUUGACGGGGGCCCGCACAAGCGGUGGAGCAUGUGGUUUAAUUCGAAGCAACGCGAAGAACCUUACCAGGUCUUGACAUCCCGAUGCUAUUUCUAGAGAUAGAAAGUUACUUCGGUACAUCGGUGACAGGUGGUGCAUGGUUGUCGUCAGCUCGUGUCGUGAGAUGUUGGGUUAAGUCCCGCAACGAGCGCAACCCCUAUUGUUAGUUGCCAUCAUUCAGUUGGGCACUCUAGCGAGACUGCCGGUAAUAAACCGGAGGAAGGUGGGGAUGACGUCAAAUCAUCAUGCCCCUUAUGACCUGGGCUACACACGUGCUACAAUGGUUGGUACAACGAGUUGCGAGUCGGUGACGGCAAGCUAAUCUCUUAAAGCCAAUCUCAGUUCGGAUUGUAGGCUGCAACUCGCCUACAUGAAGUCGGAAUCGCUAGUAAUCGCGGAUCAGCACGCCGCGGUGAAUACGUUCCCGGGCCU